AUUGAACGCUGGCGGCAGGCCUAACACAUGCAAGUCGAGCGGAUGAAGGGAGCUUGCUCCUGGAUUCAGCGGCGGACGGGUGAGUAAUGCCUAGGAAUCUGCCUGGUAGUGGGGGGUAACGUCCGGAAACGGGCGCUAAUACCGCAUACGUCCUGAGGGAGAAAGUGGGGGAUCUUCGGACCUCACGCUAUCAGAUGAGCCUAGGUCGGAUUAGCUAGUUGGUGGGGUAAAGGCCUACCAAGGCGACGAUCCGUAACUGGUCCGAGAGGAUGAUCAGUCACACUGGAACUGAGACACGGUCCAGACUCCUACGGGAGGCAGCAGUGGGGAAUAUUGGACAAUGGGCGAAAGCCUGAUCCAGCCAUGCCGCGUGUGUGAAGAAGGUCUUCGGAUUGUAAAGCACUUUAAGUUGGGAGGAAGGGCAGUAAGUUAAUACCUUGCUGUUUUGACGUUACCAACAGAAUAAGCACCGGCUAACUUCGUG
Molecule: ribosomal RNA, 484 nt
Filed under: uncultured bacterium
Lineage: Bacteria
Description: partial 16S ribosomal RNA
Rfam family: Bacterial small subunit ribosomal RNA
Source: RNAcentral